This 502-nucleotide ribosomal RNA is filed under the name uncultured bacterium. RNAcentral's name for it is "partial 16S ribosomal RNA". It matches the Rfam family "Bacterial small subunit ribosomal RNA", at positions 28 to 523 of the family's 1533-position model. The record is from RNAcentral.
GAUGAACGCUAGCGGCAGGCUUAAUACAUGCAAGUCGAGGGGCAGCGCGGGUAGCAAUACCUGGCGGCGACCGGCAAACGGGUGCGGAACACGUACGCAACCUUCCCAUAACUGGUGAAUAGCCCUCCGAAAGGAGGAUUAAUACACCGUAACAUAACGAAGAGGCAUCUUUUUGUUAUUAUAGUAGCAAUACGGUUUUGGAUGGGCGUGCGCCUGAUUAGGUAGUUGGCGGGGUAACGGCCCACCAAGCCUGCGAUCAGUAACUGGUGUGAGAGCACGACCAGUCACACGGGCACGGAGACACGGGCCCGACUACUACGGGAGGCAGCAGUAAGGAAUAGUGGUCAAUGGACGAAAGUCUGAACCAGCCAUGCCGCGUGAAGGAUGAAGGCCCUCUGGGUUGUAAACUUCUUUUAUCUGGGACGAAAAAAGGGCAUUCUUGCUCACUUGACGGUACCAGAGGAAUAAGCACCGGCUAACUCCGUGCCAGCCGCCGCGGUAA